GAUUAACGCUGGCGGCGUGCAUAACACAUUCAAGUCGAACGGAACAAGGUGCUUCGGUACCUUGUUUAGUGGCGGACGGGUGAGUAACGCGUGAGCAAUCUACCUCCAGGUGAGGGAUAACAACCGGAAACAGUUGCUAAUACCUCAUAAGAUAGUAGUGUCGCAUGGCACAGCUAUCAAAGGCUUGCUGCCUGGAGAUGAGCUUGCGUCCGAUUAGAUAGUUGGCGGGGUAAAGGCCCACCAAGUCGACGAUCGGUAGCCGGACUGAGAGGUUGGACGGCCACAUUGGAACUGAGAUACGGUCCAG
RNAcentral lists this ribosomal RNA (307 nucleotides) under uncultured bacterium. RNAcentral describes it as "bacterial SSU rRNA". It matches the Rfam family "Bacterial small subunit ribosomal RNA", at positions 28 to 334 of the family's 1533-position model. The record is from RNAcentral.